RNAcentral lists this ribosomal RNA (909 nucleotides) under Monilinia fructigena. RNAcentral describes it as "LSU rRNA". It matches the Rfam family "Eukaryotic large subunit ribosomal RNA", at positions 38 to 965 of the family's 3401-position model. Lineage: Eukaryota; Fungi; Ascomycota; Leotiomycetes; Helotiales; Sclerotiniaceae. The record is from RNAcentral.
GCAUAUCAAUAAGCGGAGGAAAAGAAACCAACAGGGAUUACCUCAGUAACGGCGAGUGAAGCGGUAAAAGCUCAAAUUUGAAAUCUGGCUCUUUCAGAGUCCGAGUUGUAAUUUGUAGAAGAUGCUUCGGGUGUGGUUCCGGUCUAAGUUCCUUGGAACAGGACGUCAUAGAGGGUGAGAAUCCCGUAUGUGACUGGAUACCUAUGCUCAUGUGAAGCUCUUUCGACGAGUCGAGUUGUUUGGGAAUGCAGCUCAAAAUGGGUGGUAUAUUUCAUCUAAAGCUAAAUAUUGGCCAGAGACCGAUAGCGCACAAGUAGAGUGAUCGAAAGAUGAAAAGCACUUUGGAAAGAGAGUUAAACAGUACGUGAAAUUGUUGAAAGGGAAGCGCUUGCAAUCAGACUUGCACUUGGUGUUCAUCGGGGUUUCUACCCCGUGUACUUCAUCAAGUUCAGGCCAGCAUCAGUUUGGGUGGUUAGAUAAAGGCUUAGAGAAUGUGGCCCUCUUCGGGGGGUGUUAUAGCUCUAGGUGCAAUGUAGCCUACCUGGACUGAGGACCGCGCUUCGGCUAGGAUGCUGGCGUAAUGGUUGUAAGCGACCCGUCUUGAAACACGGACCAAGGAGUGUACCUAAUAUGCGAGUGUUUGGGUGUUAAACCCAUACGCGUAAUGAAAGUGAACGGAGGUGAGAGCCCUUAAGGGUGCAUCAUCGACCGAUCCUGAUGUCUUCGGAUGGAUUUGAGUAAGAGCAUAUUGGGUGCGACCCGAAAGAUGGUGAUCUAUACGUGAAUAGGGUGAAGCCAGAGGAAACUCUGGUGGAGGCUCGCAGCGGUUCUGACGUGCAAAUCGAUCGUCAAAUUUGCGUAUAGGGGCGAAAGACUAAUCGAACCAUCUAGUAGCUGGUUCCUGCCGAG